RNAcentral lists this ribosomal RNA (245 nucleotides) under uncultured bacterium. RNAcentral describes it as "partial 16S ribosomal RNA". It matches the Rfam family "Bacterial small subunit ribosomal RNA", at positions 524 to 768 of the family's 1533-position model. The record is from RNAcentral.
UACGUAGGGUGCAAGCGUUGUCCGGAAUCAUUGGGCGUAAAGAGCGUGUAGGCGGCCCGGUAAGUCCGCUGUGAAAGUCCAGGGCUCAACCCUGGAAAGCCGGUGGAUACUGCUGGGCUGGAGUCCGGAAGGGGCGAGUGGAAUUCCUGGUGUAGCGGUGAAAUGCGCAGAUAUCAGGAGGAACACCAAUGGCGAAGGCAGCUCGCUGGGACGGUACUGACGCUGAGACGCGAAAGCGUGGGGAG